GGAGGGGGCUGCGCGGCCCCUACAGCCUGGAGCUGCCCUCUUACCCUGGGCAGGCCUUCAGCCGAGCUCAGGAACCCGACCCGCCCUGCGAGGCUUGGACCGCCGAGGAUUGCGGCAGGUUUGGCCAUAGCCACGGAGUAGGCGCGAGGGUCGAAUCUCCGUAAUGUUUCUGUCCCGGCCCACCUUUCCUGUGCGGGCGAAGGCCUCGGCCACCUUGCGGUUCCGCCCUCCGUAGCAGGUAGUGAUGAGAUCAGCAACACCGCAGCUCUCCAAGAAGGUGGCAGGGGACACAGGGCCACUGCAGAAGAGCUUGGUGAAGGCGAUCAUCUCCAUGAGCCCCAGUCGGAUCACGGCCGCCUUGGUGUUGUCGCCAAAGCCCAGCCCAUCACAGAAGCCAGCCCCCACGGCCACUAUAUUCUUUGAAGAGUGAAGUCACGGGUCUGUCCAGGAUCCAGAGUUCUGGCCAUCAAUCCGUCUGGGUGUCCUGGACGUCUUAUCUCCCAUUAGCCUGAGUGCUCCCCCUGGGCAUCUCCUCUUCCCCCUGGACCAACCUUUGGAGCCAGGGACAGGGAUGUCCCACAAGGGGCUAUAGGGGAAAGGAAGAAGGAAGCCCAAUGUCUGAUGGUCCUCCCCUAUUCCAGUGCAGCCAAAGCUAGCUGUGAGGAGAGCAGAUAACAUGUGAAAACGAAUCCAUCUGAAAACUCUCCUUCCACAACCUACUUCUCCAAGGUGGCCCUUGAGCUGAUCACAGAUCUUGCCGAUGAACUGAUGGGGUACCACGAAGAUCAGGAUGUCAGCAUCCACUGCAGCCUGGACCACAUCUGGGACAGCCACCUGUGGGGGUGACCAGUGUUCAUGGGCCUGACGGACUGCUUCUAGCCCCUGUGGAGCCCCAUGCAGGAGAUCUAGGAGACAGGGUGAGGCUGGUGGGGAAGAAGGAGGGCAGUUUGGGGGUUGAAUCUGGAAGGGCUGAACCUGGAGGAACAAGACACUUCUAUUCCUUCCGCCUAGCCAUCAUUCCCUCUAGGUUCCAGCUGUCCUGGGUUCUUGAGGACUCCUGGAAACCUCCUCUCAGCACUCUCCUAGCCCUUGGCUGUGGGAUAGUGAGGGAGGCCAAAGGAGGUCUGGGCUUGGCAAGAGGAAGAGGCCAAGUAAGAUUUCAUCACCCUGCUCCUUAGGGCUCCCAACUGGGAAGGGAGAGCCCCAGUCUUCCUGCUGUCUUUCCUGCUCCCCCUUUCCAGGUGGGGAGUAAGCCACAUGGAUCUGACCAAAGACCUUAAGUCCAAGGAGCAGUCUCCACAUCUACUAAUAACCCAGUGAAUGAGUAACAGGGUUAUAGCCCGAGGCAGGCACUACCCAGACUCCAAGUCUGGGGGCCAGAGAACCUGUCUUUGGUUGCCACAGAGACCAACUUCCUCAUCCUCUCCCCGUCCCUCUCCUGCCUGGAAGCCCACGGGGUGGGGUGGAGAUGCAUUCAGGUUCUCCCCAGUCCCAGGAAGUGCUCAGGGGAGCAGUUUGGGGGCUGUGCCCAGGGACGCCCUGUGCCUGGAGUAGCCCUCCUGAGAUGCUUCUCAAGUACAGGUGGCACGUGAAGUGGCCCCCUCCCAGCAGGAAGCACCCCCUCCACUUCCCUCUCCCUUCUUAUGGGGCAUUGGGGCUCACCACAUUGGGGGGCAACUUGUGCCCUGGCAGGUAUUUGACAUUCUCAUGCUGUGUGUUGAUGACCUCUGUCAGCUUUCUGCCCCCGACGUCUUCCUCAAACACCCACAUGGUCACCCGUGGGUCAAAGCGUGCCAGCUGGGCUGCGUUGCCACCCACAAUCUUGGCGAUGGCUGAGCCCCUGGCAGGAGGGGGAGCACAGAAAGUGGAGGAGCGGGGGCGUGAGAGAGGAACAGUGGCGGGAGGGGACAGUGCUCCCCCUCAGGAUGUCACAGAAGCCACUGGAUUAUUUACCUGCCACCUUCCUUGUCACCCCCUCCCCGUGACGCUGCGUCUCUCCUGACCUAGCAGUAGAAAGGAGACUCAGUUUCCUUUCCCUCACACUUUGCUGCUGGAGAAGGGGGCCAGCCUCUUGAUCUCCCCCCCACCCCCUAACCCAGGCAGCCUUUCAGGCAGGGAGCACUCUGGAGGCUCCCUUCCCGUGGCGAACAGGUGCUGCUGCCCGAGACGCAAGGGCCAGGAGCGGUCUGGGCAUUGUCUGUCCUGCCGGGGUAGGCAGAGAAGACAGCAACAGGGGUGGGCCAGAAGCUGGAGGCAUUUCCUCCCCACCGACUGCCUCCUGCCCACCAAACCUCCCUCCCUAACCUCCUGUAUACUUGAGGGAGCCUCCCCCUCCCCCCCCCCCCCCAGUACUCCUUGACAGAGCCGCUUACCAGUUACCAGAGCCUACAAUGCACACUUUCUUGCCGGCCAUGGUGCCGCUUCGCUGCCUGGGCCACCAGCUGGGUGCCACUCUCCCCAGCUCCUCUGCCGGCUGGGAGCAUAUAACUCCAACACACGUGGGUGCCGCCAAGCCCCGCCCUCCAGGGGAGGGGAGGCGGGCGCCCAGGGAGACAGAGUCUGGCAGGGCCAGGGAAAGGGAAGAAAAGGGUAGAGACAGGUGGGGAACAGGAAUGGGGCCGAGACCAGGCCUGCUUUUCCUCUUAGGUUUGCCCGCUGACGGUGCUGGCACGCUGCUUCCCUCGGCCCCAGCCCAGGUCCUCAACCCCUCCCUCUCCGCAAUGGUUUCAUUUUAAGUUCUGCCAAGACCGGGCCCAGAUAAGGAGCGAGUGCCCGGUCCCCCCCCACUCCCGUCCCCUAGCACUGGAAUAAAUUGUAUUCAGUCCCAGCAGCAGAUCCAGGCAUGCCUUCUUUUCCAAGGUAGGAACCGCCCCACUUGUGCCCCCCAGGACCCGGAAAGCUGCUCUAUGGGUUCAUCCUCUGGCGAUGACGGGUCACGUGUUGCCCCACUGCAGGGCUGUGGGUGAGUGAGGUGGGUGGGUGUGGCUCCUUUAAAUAAGAGCACAUAAGAGGUAAGGACCUGCUCUGGGGGCAACCCAGCCCAAGGAUAAGACCCCAAGAGCCCAAGAAACAAAGCACACCAGUGGGCCUCUCCUCACCUGAAUGUUUCCCAGGAAGGGGGGCAGGAAAGCCCAAAGUUGGAGGCUCUGAUGCCAAGUGGCCCACAGGUGUUUUGCAGACUCUGGGCUUGAGGAGGAGGAUAGGAGAGAAAAGAAGGCAGCCCAAGUGUUCACUGUCCUUGAGAGGUACUGAGCUUCCUUCACUUCUUUCUUGGGUUUCCAGGCUAACCCCACACUAGGGGCGCCUUCAGGUUAGUGGCUAGUUUGCAGAAGCCAGAAGGGAAGGGAGGCAGGACCUGGGGCAGUUGUGACCUCUGUAGAGCUUUGUGGUCUCAGAUGCUGUAAUCAAGAGCAAGUGGGGUGUGCGCUUCUGGGGGGAGGGAGGAUGGAAGGGACGCACAGUGCAGUUCAGGGCUCUGCAUCGCCCACAGCAACCUGUUUAACUACGAGGGGGAACUCUAGUUUCUAGGCUGAUGUGGAGAGUGGGGCAAAGGCCCCUUACACUCCAGCUGUCUGUGCACCUUGGCCUGGAAAGCAGAUAGCACUGUGUGCUCACGUGCUGACCUCCUGGCCGGGCCAACUGCUGAGUGGGUGUUUCCAUCCCCCUGGGCUGCUGCUGGCUGCAAACAGUGAUAAGCACUGGGCCAGAGGGGAGUUUGUGUGCAAUCACUGGGUAAGGGUUAAGUGGCCCUGAGGUCAAGACUGGGGAGAAAUGGUUUCCUAACUUCUAAGGACUGCCUGGGAAAAAGCCCACCAUACUCUACUCCCAUGGCCAGGGAGUUCCCUUAGGGGAACAUACGUGAAAUCAGCAGUUGAUUGCUUCUCUUAGGAACAAAAUUAUGCCUACUACAGAGCCAGCCCCCCCAACGACCACUGUUAUUGCACUGGCACUGCGACAAAGGCACCAGUGCCAGGCUGCCGGCUGGGACCACUGAUUAUGGGUGAUGGAAGAGAAAGAAUGCUUCUGUCCCUGGCACACAGGAUGAGAACCCCAAAGAACGGAUGUUUGUGCAUAAAAUAACCUCUUGUGUUUGCCUAAAUGCUUCCAUCUUUUUGUCCCUACGAUCAUUUAAAGUAGUACGGAGACAAAGAAUUUGUUCAUUUAUAUAGGAAUAAAGAGUGUGCAGAGAUUCAGAACUGGCCUGUCACAGGCCAAUUAUCUGUACCACUAGGGCUCUUUUCCCAAGAGCAAACUGCAGAUUUGCUUGAAAUUAAUAAUGGUUCAUCAGCCGUUCAUUACACAUGUAAUUAGCCUGGGUGAAAACAGAUGCCAUUUCAAUGUCCUUGACAUCAAUUGUUUCCACUCCCAAGUUAUCAUCACCCACACACACUCUUCUGCUUUCCCCACUCAAGUCUGAUAAACUCCCACAUUCCAGAUUGGGAAUAGUGGUUGUAUCCUUGGUGGGUUUGACUGCAUAUACGCAAUACUUGAGUGUUCACAUGCAUGGAGGCAAAAGUUAAUUUUUUAACUACAACUUUGGAAUGUAGUUGCCUUCACCCUGUGUUCUAAACCCCCUUCUUGAGUAGAACCAAGCUAGAUAAUGGCACAAAGGAGGAAAGUAAAGAACUACCAGGUGGGAAGCAGGCAUAUGAUGGAAACUGCAGCAGAAUUUCAUGCUUCUGCUAAUGGGACCCAAUCCUGAGCAAAGUCUUCUCAACUCUACCAGUGAAGGCUCGGUUGUCCAUAGCACGAGGAUGACAGUGCAGCACUUCCACGCCAGUCUCAGGAACUAAAAUCUUACUCGGGGUUGAGAAAGUGGAACCUUAAAGAAUGGCAGGCACACAGACCACAAACGUCUUCAGUCCUCACACAGCGCUGGCCCGCAGGAAGACAGGAGCCCUGGGAAUCCUAGAGGAGGCUCAAGUUCAUCAAGUGUAAGGGACCACAGGUACCCAAGGACAGCACCCUCGAGCCAGCAGGUGCCCUGGGGAGUUCAGAAGGACAAGGGAGAGAAUGGCAGUGCCACUGUCUUGUUAGAAUCUUCCUUAACGGGAACUGAGGACAGGACUCUCAGAUCCAGUGAUGAAGCCCACUACUCCCAACCAGCACCUGGCCUGCUUGGAGCACUGGGGCUGACAGAACAAGCUCUAAGGUGAGAACCUGAGGUCCCCAGGGUAGAAAUCUUGUUUUUCACCAUAUCCCCAGUGCCUAGAACCACAGCUGGCAUACAGCAGGUGCUCAACAAAUAUCUGUCAAAUAAAAUGAACAAACACCAUGAGCAUGGCUAAUGGUAUCGAAGAAGAAAGCUCAGGGAAGAGCUCUCCAUCAGUAGGUAGGGGGACCCAUCCUUCAGAAGAUUCUUUUAUUAAAACUGGGUGACAUCGAUAAGGAGACAGUACAAAAAAAAUUUUGGUCCAUGAAAAAAACAUAGUAA
Molecule: long non-coding RNA, 5434 nt
Organism: Orcinus orca (killer whale)
Lineage: Eukaryota; Metazoa; Chordata; Mammalia; Artiodactyla; Delphinidae
Exons: 5
Source: RefSeq, a predicted model, not a curated record